RNAcentral lists this ribosomal RNA (321 nucleotides) under uncultured Pseudomonadota bacterium. RNAcentral's name for it is "bacterial SSU rRNA". It matches the Rfam family "Bacterial small subunit ribosomal RNA", at positions 30 to 351 of the family's 1533-position model. The record is from RNAcentral. Lineage: Bacteria; Pseudomonadati; Pseudomonadota.
AUUGAACGCUGGCGGUAUGCUUAACACAUGCAAGUCGAACGGCAGCGGGGGCUUCGGCCUGCCGGCGAGUGGCGGACGGGUGAGUAAUGCAUAGGAAUCUGCCUUGUAGUGGGGGAUAACGUGGGGAAACUCACGCUAAUACCGCAUACGACCUACGGGUGAAAGCUGGGGACCUUCGGGCCUGGCGCUAUAAGAUGAGCCUGCGUAGGAUUAGCUAGUUGGUGAGGUAAAGGCUCACCAAGGCGACGAUCCUUAGCUGGUCUGAGAGGAUGAUCAGCCACACUGGGACUGAGACACGGCCCAGACUCCUACGGGAGGCAG